GGAUGUAGCGCAGCUUGGUAGCGCAUCUGACUGGGGGUCAGGAGGCCGUAGGUUCAAAUCCUAUCAUCC
This 69-nucleotide transfer RNA is filed under the name bovine gut metagenome. It matches the Rfam family "tRNA". Rfam says of the family: Transfer RNA (tRNA) molecules are approximately 80 nucleotides in length. Their secondary structure includes four short double-helical elements and three loops (D, anti-codon, and T loops). Further hydrogen bonds mediate the characteristic L-shaped molecular structure. tRNAs have two regions of fundamental functional importance: the anti-codon, which is responsible for specific mRNA codon recognition, and the 3' end, to which the tRNAs corresponding amino acid is attached (by aminoacyl-tRNA synthetases). tRNAs cope with the degeneracy of the genetic code in two manners: having more than one tRNA (with a specific anti-codon) for a particular amino acid; and 'wobble' base-pairing, i.e. permitting non-standard base-pairing at the 3rd anti-codon position. The record is from RNAcentral.